CAGCAGCCACGGGAAUACGUAGGGUGCAAGCGUUAAUCGGAAUUACUGGGCGUAAAGCGUGCGCAGGCGGUUAUAUAAGUCAGAUGUGAAAUCCCCGGGCUCAACCUGGGAACUGCAUUUGAGACUGUAUGGCUAGAGUGUGUCAGAGGGGGGUAGAAUUCCACGUGUAGCAGUGAAAUGCGUAGAUAUGUGGAGGAAUACCGAUGGCGAAGGCAGCCCCCUGGGCCAAUACUGACGCUCAUGCACGAAAGCGUGGGGAGCAAACAGGAUUAGAUACCCCCGUAGUCCCUGUCUCUUAUAC
Molecule: ribosomal RNA, 301 nt
Filed under: uncultured bacterium
Lineage: Bacteria
Description: partial 16S ribosomal RNA
Rfam family: Bacterial small subunit ribosomal RNA
Source: RNAcentral